Molecule: ribosomal RNA, 450 nt
Filed under: uncultured bacterium
Lineage: Bacteria
Description: partial 16S ribosomal RNA
Rfam family: Bacterial small subunit ribosomal RNA
Source: RNAcentral
GUGGGGAAUCUUCCGCAAUGGACGAAAGUCUGACGGAGCAACGCCGCGUGAGUGAAGAAGGUUUUCGGAUCGUAAAGCUCUUUCGUUAGGGACGAACGUGCUCUUUGUGAAUAAUGAGGAGUAAUGACGGUACCUAAAUAAGAAGCCACGGCUAACUACGUGCCAGCAGCCGCGGUAAUACGUAGGUGGCAAGCGUUGUCCGGAAUUAUUGGGCGUAAAGCGCGCGCAGGCGGGAUAUCAAGUCUGUCUUAAAAGUGCGAGGCUCAACCUCGUGAGGGGACAGAAACUGGUAUUCUUGAGUGUCGGAGAGGAAAGUGGAAUUCCAAGUGUAGCGGUGAAAUGCGAAGAGAUUUGGAAGAACACCAGUGGCGAAGGCGACUUUCUGGACGAUGUCUGACGCUGAGGCGCGAAAGCUAGGGGAGCGAACGGGAUUAGAUACCCGGGUAGUCC